AUUGCCCAGGAAUUUUGUUAAAAUGCAGAUUCUGAUUCAGUUGGUCUGGCAUGGGGCCAAGAUUCCGCAUUUCUAACAAGAUUCCAGGUAAUUAGAA
RNAcentral lists this microRNA precursor (97 nucleotides) under Callithrix jacchus (white-tufted-ear marmoset). RNAcentral describes it as "mir-544 microRNA precursor family". It matches the Rfam family "mir-544 microRNA precursor family". Lineage: Eukaryota; Metazoa; Chordata; Mammalia; Primates; Cebidae. The record is from Rfam by way of RNAcentral.